RNAcentral lists this ribosomal RNA (253 nucleotides) under uncultured bacterium. Its description in RNAcentral is "partial 16S ribosomal RNA". It matches the Rfam family "Bacterial small subunit ribosomal RNA", at positions 524 to 776 of the family's 1533-position model. The record is from RNAcentral.
UACAGAGGUCCCAAGCGUUGUUCGGAUUCAUUGGGCGUAAAGAGCUCGUAGGCGGUCUGUCGCGUCUGGUGUGAAAUCCCAUGGCUCAACUGUGGGCUUGCAUCGGGUACGGGCAGACUAGAGUGCUGUAGGGGAGACUGGAAUUCCUGGUGUAGCGGUGGAAUGCGCAGAUAUCAGGAGGAACACCGAUGGCGAAGGCAGGUCUCUGGGCAGUUACUGACGCUGAGGAGCGAAAGCAUGGGGAGCGAACAGG